Molecule: ribosomal RNA, 396 nt
Filed under: Triticum aestivum (bread wheat)
Lineage: Eukaryota; Viridiplantae; Streptophyta; Magnoliopsida; Poales; Poaceae
Description: partial small subunit ribosomal RNA
Source: RNAcentral
AUGGAGUCGUCGCCGCAUAAGCGCAACGUCAACCGAGAUGAGGACAAGAUCAGCGUGCUCCCCGAUGAACUCAUCUUCGGAAUCCUCGAGCGCCUUGACCUACGCAAAGCAGUCCGCACCGCCGCACUCUCGACGCGGUGGCGGCACUUCCCCUACCGUCUCUCGCGCGUGUACCUCAGCGUCUGCCACUUUCAACACAACACGCAGCUCGAGCAAAUGGACGCGUUCACGGGUGCGCUACGGAGUUUGCUGGCCAAGCGCGAGUGUGACUGUCGAGCCAUCAAGACAUUUAAUCUCAAGUUCUUAUUGUCGACACCUCACCUGAGUUCCACCGGCAGCGCCCUUGAGAACCUCGCCAGCCUUGGCGAGGUCAAAUGUCUCGAGCUUGUCAUAUGA